AGGGAGUAGUCCUACUCCUCCUCCUGGCGGGUAAGCGGCGGGAGUGGUCAACCGCCCUGGGGCGCCUAUACACCCGACAUAGUCCGUGCGGGGUGAAUGGCGGUAGUUGUAGUAGGCUCCGCAGCCGGAGUGCUACGCAUUUAUGCUACUGGUCUACGGUGUGCAGUCUUAUGCUGCAUAUGUUCACUCGUUUGGUGCCGUCUAUACGCAGUGUUUUGCGUAUAGUUUGUGUUAUCUCCCAUUUUAGGUUGCAUUCCGGGGUUAAUCUUGCUCGGCAUGAUAUGUAUGGGAGGUAGCAUCCCCCUCACAAAGGAUUGGACAAAUCCUAGCUGAUUGCUCGUGCUCAAUGACAUUCUGUCGGGCAACUACUGAUAGCGUCAGCAUUUCGCCUGUGGUUGUGUUGGCUUUGCCUAGCCAGUAUGUGAUGCGCCGGUUUAACGUCUCCAAUUACGAUUAUAGCGGGAGCGGCCGGUGUGUGCUGGGCGUGGCUGGUGUCGCUCAUUGCUGAUGCGUGAUGGUAUUCACGGCCCUCGUGGCUUGCUCAGCUUUGGCGCGCCCAUGCUAACGGGUUACGGGUUGUAUUACUCUGUUCUGUUCUGGGCUAAUGCCUGCUUCCCGAGUGAGGGCUGGCUCGGGCCGGUCAUCCUUGCGUUGCUUGGUGUGAUGCUCUUGAUGUGGUUAAGCCGGCUGGCUUGUCCUGUACGUUGGACAGGUUGUAACACCUGGUCUGACUGUGUCUAUACGAUUAUCCCAUCGCAGCUUCGUCUGCCUACGGCGGAGCGCUUUCUAGUUCUGCCAAUCAAGUGGUGCAAAUGGCCCACAUGGUACGGAAAAGUUCAUGUGGUUGCGCCUCAUACACGUGGUGCUAAUUCCUCAUGAGACCCACCUGGGGGCAGAGGAAAUGUGAACA
This 910-nucleotide unclassified non-coding RNA is filed under the name Brachycladium goliath. Its description in RNAcentral is "external transcribed spacer". Lineage: Eukaryota; Metazoa; Platyhelminthes; Trematoda; Plagiorchiida; Brachycladiidae. The record is from RNAcentral.